RNAcentral lists this ribosomal RNA (415 nucleotides) under uncultured bacterium. RNAcentral describes it as "bacterial SSU rRNA". It matches the Rfam family "Bacterial small subunit ribosomal RNA", at positions 508 to 921 of the family's 1533-position model. The record is from RNAcentral.
UCAGCAGCCGCGGUAAUACGGAGGAUGCAAGCGUUAUCCGGAAUGAUUGGGCGUAAAGCGUCCGCAGGUGGCAAUGUAAGUCUGCUGUUAAAGAGUCUAGCUCAACUAGAUAAAAGCAGUGGAAACUACAUAGCUAGAGUACGUUCGGGGCAGAGGGAAUUCCUGGUGUAGCGGUGAAAUGCGUAGAGAUCAGGAAGAACACCGGUGGCGAAGGCGCUCUGCUAGGCCGUAACUGACACUGAGGGACGAAAGCUAGGGGAGCGAAUGGGAUUAGAUACCCCAGUAGUCCUAGCCGUAAACGAUGGAUACUAGGCGUGGCUUGUAUCGACCCGAGCCGUGCCGUAGCUAACGCGUUAAGUAUCCCGCCUGGGGAGUACGCCGGCAACGGUGAAACUUAAAGGAAUUGGCGGGGGAU